Molecule: microRNA precursor, 91 nt
Filed under: Aedes aegypti (yellow fever mosquito)
Lineage: Eukaryota; Metazoa; Arthropoda; Insecta; Diptera; Culicidae
Description: microRNA aae-mir-981 precursor
Gene: aae-mir-981
Rfam family: mir-981 microRNA precursor family
Source: miRBase by way of RNAcentral
AAACCUUGCCUGGAUCGGGUUUCGCGGCGAACGGGCUUCCACCAUGAUGAAUAGCAGUUCGUUGUCGACGAAACCUGCACAUUGCAAGGCA